RNAcentral lists this ribosomal RNA (964 nucleotides) under Neoerysiphe joerstadii. RNAcentral's name for it is "partial 28S rRNA". It matches the Rfam family "Eukaryotic large subunit ribosomal RNA", at positions 1 to 981 of the family's 3401-position model. The record is from RNAcentral. Lineage: Eukaryota; Fungi; Ascomycota; Leotiomycetes; Helotiales; Erysiphaceae.
UUGACCUCGAAUCAGGUAGGGAUACCCGCUGAACUUAAGCAUAUCAAUAAGCGGANNNNNNNNNNNNNNNNNNNNNNNNNNNAGUAACGGCGAGUGAAGCGGUAACAGCUCAAAUUUGAAAUCUGGCUCCUUCGGAGUCCGAGUUGUAAUUUGUAGAAGAUGCUUUGGGUUGCAGGUUCGGUCUAAGUUCCUUGGAACAGGACGUCGUAGAGGGUGAGAAUCCCGUAUGCGGCCGUGACUUGUGCCCGUGUAAAGCUCUUUCGACGAGUCGAGUUGUUUGGGAAUGCAGCUCAAAAUGGGUGGUAAAUUUCAUCUAAAGCUAAAUAUAGGCCAGAGACCGAUAGCGCACAAGUAGAGUGAUCGAAAGAUGAAAAGCACUUUGGAAAGAGAGUUAAACAGUACGUGAAAUUGUUGAAAGGGAAGCGCUUGCAACCAGACUUGGGCGUCGUGGAUCAUCCAAGGUUUUCCUCGGUGCACUCGACGACGCACAGGCCAGCAUCGGUUCGGAUGGCUGGAAAAAGGUCCUAGAAAUGUAGCUCCUCGCGGGGAGUGUUAUAGUCUAGGGCGCAAUGCAGCCCAACCGGACCGAGGACCGCGCUUCGGCUAGGAUGCUGGCGUAAUGGUUGUAAGCGACCCGUCUUGAAACACGGACCAAGGAGUCUAACAUCUAUGCGAGUGUUUGGGCGUUAAACCCAUACGCGGAAUGAAAGUGAACGUAGGUGAGAACCCGUAAGGGGGCAUCAUCGACCGAUCCUGAAGUCUUCGGACGGAUUUGAGUAAGAGCAUAGCUGUUGGGACCCGAAAGAUGGUGAACUAUGCCUGAAUAGGGUGAAGCCAGAGGAAACUCUGGUGGAGGCUCGCAGCGGUUCUGACGUGCAAAUCGAUCGUCAAAUUUGGGUAUAGGGGCGAAAGACUAAUCGAACCAUCUAGUACCUGGUCCCUGCCGAAGUUUCCCUCAGGAUAA